UACGUAGGGUGCGAGCGUUGUCCGGAAUUACUGGGCGUAAAGAGCUCGUAGGUGGUUUGUCGCGUUGUCCGUGAAAACUCACAACUCAACUGUGGGCGUGCGGGCGAUACGGGCAGACUGGAGUACUGCAGGGGAGACUGGAAUUCCUGGUGUAGCGGUGGAAUGCGCAGAUAUCAGGAAGAACACCCGUGGCUAAGGCGGCUCUCUAGUACGGUACUGACGCUGAGACGCGAAAGCGUGGGGAGCGAACAGG
RNAcentral lists this ribosomal RNA (253 nucleotides) under uncultured bacterium. RNAcentral describes it as "partial 16S ribosomal RNA". It matches the Rfam family "Bacterial small subunit ribosomal RNA", at positions 524 to 776 of the family's 1533-position model. The record is from RNAcentral.